AGUGAACGCUGGCGGUAGGCCUAACACAUGCAAGUCGAACGGCAGCACAGUAAGAGCUUGCUCUUACGGGUGGCGAGUGGCGGACGGGUGAGGUAUACAUCGGAAUCUACUUUUUCGUGGGGGAUAACGUCGGGAAACUUACGCUAAUACCGCAUACGACCUACGGGUGAAAGCAGGGGAUCUUCGGACCUUGUGCGAUUGAAUGAGCCGAUGUCGGAUUAGCUAGUUGGCGGGGUAAAGGCCCACCAAGGCGACGAUCCGUAGCUGGUCUGAGAGGAUGAUCAGCCACACUGGAACUGAGACACGGUCCAGACUCCUACGGGAGGCAGCAGUGGGGAAUAUUGGACAAUGGGCGCAAGCCUGAUCCAGCCAUACCGCGUGGGUGAAGAAGGCCUUCGGGUUGUAAAGCCCUUUUGUUGGGAAAGAAAAGCAGCAGGUUAAUACCCCGCUGUUCUGACGGUACCCAAAGAAUAAGCACCGGCUAACUUCGUG
Molecule: ribosomal RNA, 492 nt
Filed under: uncultured bacterium
Lineage: Bacteria
Description: partial 16S ribosomal RNA
Rfam family: Bacterial small subunit ribosomal RNA
Source: RNAcentral